Molecule: transfer RNA, 74 nt
Filed under: Spirochaetaceae bacterium
Lineage: Bacteria; Pseudomonadati; Spirochaetota; Spirochaetia; Spirochaetales; Spirochaetaceae
Also listed under: 1 other name
Description: tRNA-Cys
Rfam family: tRNA
About the family: Transfer RNA (tRNA) molecules are approximately 80 nucleotides in length.
Source: RNAcentral
GGUGCUGUACCCAAGAGGCCUAAGGGCGUGGUCUGCAAAACCAUCGUUCAGCGGUUCGAAUCCGCUCGGCACCU